Phrynosoma platyrhinos (Desert horned lizard) is the source of this 72-nucleotide non-coding RNA. NCBI's taxonomy places the organism in Eukaryota, Metazoa, Chordata, Lepidosauria, Squamata, Phrynosomatidae. The record is from the annotation of a GenBank genome assembly.
GCCAAUGUGGCGUAGUGGUUUGAGCGUUCGACUGUGACUCUAGAGACCAGGGUUCAAAUUCCUGCUCAUUCA